This 253-nucleotide ribosomal RNA is filed under the name uncultured bacterium. RNAcentral describes it as "partial 16S ribosomal RNA". It matches the Rfam family "Bacterial small subunit ribosomal RNA", at positions 524 to 776 of the family's 1533-position model. The record is from RNAcentral.
UACGGAGGAUGCAAGCGUUAUCCGGAUUGAUUGGGCGUAAAGCGUCUGUAGGUGGUUACGCUAGUCGGCUGUGAAAUCCCGAGGCUCAACCUCGGGUCUGCAGUCGAUACGAGCAAACUAGAGUGUUGCAGGGGAGACUGGAAUUCCUGGUGUAGCGGUGAAAUGCGCAGAUAUUAGGAAGAACACCAGUGGCGAAGGCGGCUCACUGGUCCGGUACUGACGCUGAGGUGCGAAAGCGUGGGGAGCAAACAGG